AAUAGGUUGGCAGAUGAAUGCAUUUGAUUUAGGAUCAAAAGAAGAAAUUUUUAUUUCACUUAUUA
Molecule: transfer RNA, 65 nt
Filed under: Aphrodita australis
Lineage: Eukaryota; Metazoa; Annelida; Polychaeta; Phyllodocida; Aphroditidae
Description: tRNA-Leu
Rfam family: tRNA
About the family: Transfer RNA (tRNA) molecules are approximately 80 nucleotides in length.
Source: RNAcentral